This is a long non-coding RNA of Physella acuta, 504 nucleotides long. RefSeq lists it as uncharacterized. NCBI's taxonomy places the organism in Eukaryota, Metazoa, Mollusca, Gastropoda, Physidae. The record is from RefSeq and is a predicted model, not a curated record.
AUCGUUUGUGUUUAUAAACUUCUCAUGUGCCACGUCAAGCGUUUAACACUUCCAUUGCUUCUCGUCAAGUUAACGUCGGAACCUUGAUAUCGCCAAAUAUUAAAAGGCACUAUUUAGACUCAAAGAUGUACAUCAAAACUAUUGGAUCGCUACUUUUGCUUGCUUGCCUGUUGUUUGUGACCGUAGAAAAGAGUCUCGGCUCUGAUGCACUGACUGGGAGAGACGCCAGGUUACAAGGACCUGAAACGGAUAAAAUAAUAGAAGCAUCUCCAAACUUCGACCCUCUCUCAGCUAUCAACAUGAAGAAGAGGUCAGAUGACGACGAUGAUGAUGAAUAUCAAGGCGAUUUUUAAUUAAAAUUAAUUGCUAUGCGAAACACAUCACCCGACCUCUAUAAACGUUUUACUUUAUUACUGAGGCAGUGGCUAGCUUUGAGAGAGCAUUUGACUUUUCCUGUGAGUGUAAAGAAAAAAACCUUCGAUUAAAGUUAUAUGACAAGUUCUC